UUUUUCACCCUGAACACACCCAUUCUCAUCUGAACUUGGAAACUAAACAGGACUGAGCUUGGUUAGUACUUGGAUGGAAGGGUUUAUUUUUGUUCCCAGUUCAUAGGUACUGCCCAUCAUAGUGAUGAAGUCAAGGU
This 137-nucleotide ribosomal RNA is filed under the name Nannospalax galili (Upper Galilee mountains blind mole rat). The record is from RNAcentral. Lineage: Eukaryota; Metazoa; Chordata; Mammalia; Rodentia; Spalacidae.